GAUGAGGUGGCUGAAAUUUUAGGUUAUAAAUUGUAAAUUUAUAUAUGGGUGUAUACCCCCUUGUCA
RNAcentral lists this transfer RNA (66 nucleotides) under Insulaphylus sp. ph34. RNAcentral's name for it is "tRNA-Tyr". The record is from RNAcentral. Lineage: Eukaryota; Metazoa; Arthropoda; Insecta; Hemiptera; Miridae.